This 1191-nucleotide ribosomal RNA is filed under the name Triticum aestivum (bread wheat). RNAcentral's name for it is "partial small subunit ribosomal RNA". The record is from RNAcentral. Lineage: Eukaryota; Viridiplantae; Streptophyta; Magnoliopsida; Poales; Poaceae.
AUGGAUAAGUGUGGCGAUGUUGAUGACUGUGUCUCCACUCCCGAGGCUUCUGCGGGAGCAGCAAAACUUUCAGAUGAGAAGGUUAAGAAUCUCCCUGUGCCCGGUGAAGUAGAAUUCAUCAAUGGUGGCCCUCCAUGCCAGGGGUUCUCCUGGAUGAACAGAUUCAAGCAGAGCCCAUGGAGCAAGGUUCAGUGCGAGAUGAUUCCGGCAUUCUUGUCCUUCGCAGAGUAUUUCCGGCCUAGGUUCUUCCUUUUGGAAAACGUCAGGAACUUUGUUUCGUUUAACAAGGGCCGGACCUUCAGACUGACACUAGCAUCACUCCUGGAGAUGGGGUACCAGGUUCGAUUCGGCAUUCUAGAGGCAGGUGCUUAUGGCGUCGCGCAGCCCAGGAAAAGGGCGUUCAUCUGGGCCGCCGCGCAUGGGGAGACUCUUCCUGACUGGCCUGAACCAAUGCAUGUCUUCGCUAGCCCUGAGCUGAAAAUAAACCUGUCAGGAGGUAAAUACUAUGCUGCUGCCAGGAGCACAGCUGGAGGAGCUCCUUUCCGCUCUAUAACAGUCAGGGAUACAAUCGGCGAUCUACCACCGGUGGAGAAUGGCGCCAGCAACCCAACAAUAAAGUACGGAGGCGAGCCCAUCUCCUGGUUCCAGAAGAAGAUUCGAGGCGAUACGCUUUCGCUGAGUGACCACAUAUCCAAAAAGAUGAACGAGCUGAAUCUCAUAAGGUGCAAGCACAUCCCAAAACGCCCUGGCUGUGACCAUGACCUGCCAGAUGAGAAGGUGAAGCUAUCCAGAGGGAGGAAAACGGUGGAUUUGAUCCCUAGGUGCUUGCCCAACACAGCCAAGACGAACAAUCAGUGGAAAGGCCUGUGUGGGAGGCUGGACUGGGAGGGCAACUUCCCCACAUCAGUGACAGAUCCCCAGCCAAUGGGCAGGGUCGGCAUGUGCUUCCACCCUGAUCAGGACAGGAUCAUCACUGUUCGUGAAUGUGCGCGAUCCCAGGGCUUCCCUGAUGGCUACCGUUUCGCUGGCAACAUCCGGAGCAAGCACAGGCAGAUCGGGAAUGCGGUACCACCUCCCCUUGCAUACGCGCUAGGGAGGAAGCUCAAGCAAGCCAUCGAUGCCAAGCCGCUUAAGUUAACUGAUGAAGACAUGGUCCAAGUGGGACUUAAUUUAUCGCUGGGCCCUAUAUAA